AUGUUGGUGAAGCUGAAGGCGGUUUACACUUUGGUGGAACAGCUCUACACAGGCACUCAGCAAACCAUAGCGGCCAUCUCACACAGUAAACAACCACCUUCACUCAUCAGGGAGGUACUGGACAAACUAUCUGCCAUGCUCCAGAGAAUCGAAGAGAUUAAGCGAUCAUCAGCCCGAGCUGGUGCCAUCACUGCUUUGAGCCGGGCCAAAGCAUGGCAAGCAGAGUUAGACCCAGAGGAGAUGGCCACUGGUUGUCCAAGUCUCAAAGAAGACGGGUCUCCCUUCGAUGCAAGCAACUUUACCAAAUGUGUAAAGGAGAUGCACCCUCUGGCAAGCAAAUUGGCUAAAGAGACGGAUUUGUCCAAGUAUCAGGCGGCUUACACGAUGGAGAACUCCAAAGUGAAAGCACCGGCUUAUGAGAUUGUGGAUCUUAUUCCUCCAAUACGUAAGCGUACUUUUGCUCUUAACAUUGAUCCGUCCACACUUAUAGAUGAUGAAGCUAUGUUCAAAGCCUUAACUGGCAUCGACUGGACAUCACCUGACUUCCAGACGAUGGACGACGAAGAAGAAACAAUGCAGGAUAACCCAAAGGCUUCAACUCGCCAGGACCAAAAGAACUGA
RNAcentral lists this ribosomal RNA (621 nucleotides) under Triticum aestivum (bread wheat). Its description in RNAcentral is "partial small subunit ribosomal RNA". The record is from RNAcentral. Lineage: Eukaryota; Viridiplantae; Streptophyta; Magnoliopsida; Poales; Poaceae.